Molecule: non-coding RNA, 75 nt
Filed under: Aristerostoma sp. ATCC 50986
Lineage: Eukaryota; Ciliophora; Colpodea; Cyrtolophosidida; Cyrtolophosididae
Source: RNAcentral
GAUUCGAUAAACCUCUAGUGAGUAGCGUAAGUCAUUUUGAUAAAUGAAGAUUUGCUUUCUUAGCAAGUGUCUGAA